GUCUAUGGCCAUACCAUCCUAAAUGCGCCUGGUCUCAUCUGAUCUUGGAAGCUAAGCAGCGUCGGGCCUGGUUCGUACUUGCCUGGGAGACAAAUAACGGCCAUGAAGGAUCAUUAGAUA
RNAcentral lists this ribosomal RNA (120 nucleotides) under Chinchilla lanigera (long-tailed chinchilla). Lineage: Eukaryota; Metazoa; Chordata; Mammalia; Rodentia; Chinchillidae. The record is from RNAcentral.